AGAGUUUGAUCAUGGCUCAGGAUGAACGCUAGCUACAGGCUUAACACAUGCAAGUCGAGGGGAAACGACAUCGAAAGCUUGCUUUUGAUGGGCGUCGACCGGCGCACGGGUGAGUAACGCGUAUCCAACCUGCCCACCACUUGGGGAUAACCUUGCGAAAGUAAGACUAAUACCCAAUGACGUCUCUAGAAGACAUCUGAAAGAGAUUAAAGAUUUAUCGGUGAUGGAUGGGGAUGCGUCUGAUUAGCUUGUUGGCGGGGUAACGGCCACCAAGGCGACGAUCAGUAGGGGUUCUGAGAGGAAGGUCCCCCACAAUGGGACUGAGACACGGCCCAUACUCCUACGGGAGGCA
RNAcentral lists this ribosomal RNA (352 nucleotides) under uncultured bacterium. RNAcentral describes it as "bacterial SSU rRNA". It matches the Rfam family "Bacterial small subunit ribosomal RNA", at positions 8 to 350 of the family's 1533-position model. The record is from RNAcentral.